CCUACGGGUGGCUGCAGUGGGGAAUAUUGGGCAAUGGGCGCAAGCCUGACCCAGCAACGCCGCGUGAAGGAAGAAGGCUUUCGGGUUGUAAACUUCUUUUCUCAGGGAAGAAAAAAAUGACGGUACCUGAGGAAUAAGCCACGGCUAACUACGUGCCAGCAGCGGCGGUAAUACGUGGGUGGCAAGCGUUAUCCGGAUUUAUUGGGUGUAAAGGGCGUGUAGGCGGGAGCGCAAGUCAGAUGUGAAAUCUCAGGGCUCAACCCUGAGCCUGCAUUUGAAACUGUUUUUCUUGAGUGCUGGAGAGGUAAUCGGAAUUCCUUGUGUAGCGGUGAAAUGCGUAGAUAUAAGGAGGAACACCAGUGGCGAAGGCGGAUUACUGGAUAGUAACUGACGCUGAGGCGCGAAAGCGUGGGGAGCAAACAGGAUUAGAUACCCCUGUAGUC
Molecule: ribosomal RNA, 443 nt
Filed under: uncultured bacterium
Lineage: Bacteria
Description: partial 16S ribosomal RNA
Rfam family: Bacterial small subunit ribosomal RNA
Source: RNAcentral